GACACUUCCAAAACGCGGUCAAACAUAAACACCGUUCAGCCAUCCGUUCUUCAGUUUCCUCCUGAAUUUAUGUGCGCGAAUACACAACACUUUACGGUAUCGCGUGUUUUCUGAGCUGACUGAGGCCAUGUCAGCGGUGUGGAUCAGCUCCUCUCUACUGAGGUCCAGGGCAACUCACCUCAGACAGCUCAGUGUGUUCUCUAGAAGGGCUGUGUUACAACCUCUACAGGUGGUCUCCUCACUACAGAAGACAUGGACACCUGGGAACCCAACCUGGUGCUGUAGAUCCCUCCAUGUGGACAGUCCCCCCCUGGUCCCAGGGCAGAGCUUCAGCUACGUCCAUGGGGCCUCCUCAGUGUCCCUGCUGGGCCAGACGGUGGG
This is a long non-coding RNA of Oncorhynchus gorbuscha (pink salmon), 381 nucleotides long. RefSeq lists it as uncharacterized. The transcript has 3 exons. NCBI's taxonomy places the organism in Eukaryota, Metazoa, Chordata, Actinopteri, Salmoniformes, Salmonidae. The record is from RefSeq and is a predicted model, not a curated record.